AGAUUAUCAUCAUCAUAUGUUUGUUUACCAUGUUGAAAAGUGUAAAGAGAAAUUCUGAAACUACUUGGUAGAGAGAGAAAGAAAGAGAGAGAAAAUAGACUUACCUUAACAGCUUUGUCGUGGUCUCUCAUACUCACACUGGUGUUACGGUGCCAACAUACAUGCAUAGUAGUGUUGCCUCGAUGUUGUAUUUGCUUUUCUGGGCUAGGAGGAGACGUACCGAGUUUGUCGAUAUCCGAGGAGCCGGUUGUGGAAACAUUCUCAUUGGAGCCUGAAAUAUAAUCAUGAUGAAAUGUUACCACGCACACAGUUAAUGGAUCAACUCUUGGUUCCAACAAUGACACAGUUUGGUUGUAACAGUUUGGUAACGAAAGGUCUAACAAAUAAGACUAUCUACUCAUGGUAUCUUAAUUUCACUGGUUGCAGUGAGUGACACCUUCAAGGAGGUUGAAUUCAUCAUAUCAAUCCCAGUACAUAUAUUAGUCUGGCAUCUAUAUUACCAAUAUCUAUGUGUUGGACUGCUAAGUCUCAAGACAAAGUGACACAACAUAAAGAUAUGUGUGCAUGUGUACACACACAUGCAUGUAUAUAAUACAUAAUUAUAUGUAUAUAAUACAUAUAAUACAUAAUUUUAAAGUAGACACAGCUAUCCAAUCCAACCAGCAUGAAGCCCCCUUUCUUAUUGGUUGUACCAUGCAAACUCUCUUAUAAAGUAAUCUCAAAACUUCCCAUUAAAAUUUCAUGUUAAUUUAUGUUUCAAACACUAUCAUAAAUUUUGGGUAUUUGAGUAUAUUUAAGAAUUUAAGGAAUGGAGAAAAUG
Molecule: long non-coding RNA, 820 nt
Organism: Octopus bimaculoides (California two-spot octopus)
Lineage: Eukaryota; Metazoa; Mollusca; Cephalopoda; Octopoda; Octopodidae
Source: RefSeq, a predicted model, not a curated record